Molecule: ribosomal RNA, 256 nt
Filed under: uncultured bacterium
Lineage: Bacteria
Description: partial 16S ribosomal RNA
Rfam family: Bacterial small subunit ribosomal RNA
Source: RNAcentral
AACGUAGGUGGCAAGCGUUAUCCGGAUUUACUUGGGCGUAAAGCGUGUGCAGGCGGUCUUAUAAGUGGUGUAUGAAAUCUCCGCGCUUAACGUGGGAGGGGUUAUGCCAGGACUGUAGGACUUGAACCCAUCAGAGGGACGUGGAAUUCCGGGUGUAGUGGUGAAAUGCGUAGAUAUCAGGAGGAAUACCGGUGGCGAAGGCGGCCUUCUGGACGAUGACUGACGCUGAGACGCGAAAGCUAGGGGAGCAAACGGG